UCCCUGGUGGCUCAGAUGGUAAAGCAUCUGUCUACAAUGCAGGAGACCUGGGUUAGAUCCCUGGGUUGGGAG
This 72-nucleotide transfer RNA is filed under the name Bos taurus (domestic cattle). It matches the Rfam family "tRNA". From Rfam's summary of the family: Transfer RNA (tRNA) molecules are approximately 80 nucleotides in length. Their secondary structure includes four short double-helical elements and three loops (D, anti-codon, and T loops). Further hydrogen bonds mediate the characteristic L-shaped molecular structure. tRNAs have two regions of fundamental functional importance: the anti-codon, which is responsible for specific mRNA codon recognition, and the 3' end, to which the tRNAs corresponding amino acid is attached (by aminoacyl-tRNA synthetases). tRNAs cope with the degeneracy of the genetic code in two manners: having more than one tRNA (with a specific anti-codon) for a particular amino acid; and 'wobble' base-pairing, i.e. permitting non-standard base-pairing at the 3rd anti-codon position. The record is from Rfam by way of RNAcentral. Lineage: Eukaryota; Metazoa; Chordata; Mammalia; Artiodactyla; Bovidae. RNAcentral also lists the same sequence under 1 other name.